RNAcentral lists this ribosomal RNA (497 nucleotides) under uncultured bacterium. RNAcentral's name for it is "partial 16S ribosomal RNA". It matches the Rfam family "Bacterial small subunit ribosomal RNA", at positions 28 to 507 of the family's 1533-position model. The record is from RNAcentral.
GAUGAACGCUGGCGGCGUGCCUAAUACAUGCCAGUCGAGCGAACAGACGAGGAGCUUGCUCCUCUGACGUUAGCGGCGGACGGGUGAGUAACACGUGGAUAACCUACCUAUAAGACUGGGAUAACUUCGGGAAACCGGAGCUAAUACCGGAUAAUAUAUUGAACCGCAUGGUUCAAUAGUGAAAGACGGUUUUGCUGUCACUUAUAGAUGGAUCCGCGCCGCAUUAGCUAGUUGGUAAGGUAACGGCUUACCAAGGCAACGAUGCGUAGCCGACCUGAGAGGGUGAUCAGCCACACUGGAACUGAGACACGGUCCAGACUCCUACGGGAGGCAGCAGUGGGGAAUAUUCCGCAAUGGGCGAAAGCCUGACGGAGCAACGCCGCGUGGGUGAUGAAGGUCUUCGGAUCGUAAAGCUCUGUUAUUAGGGAAGAACAAAUGUAUAAGUAACUAUGCACGUCUUGACGGUACCUAAUCAGAAAGCCACGGCUAACUACGUG